Molecule: ribosomal RNA, 84 nt
Filed under: uncultured bacterium
Lineage: Bacteria
Description: partial 16S ribosomal RNA
Rfam family: Bacterial small subunit ribosomal RNA
Source: RNAcentral
GGCGACGAUGCGUAGGGUUCGUGAGAGGGAAGGUCCCCCACACUGGUACUGAGACACGGACCAGACUCCUACGGGAGGCAGCAG